Zootoca vivipara (common lizard) is the source of this 160-nucleotide non-coding RNA. NCBI's taxonomy places the organism in Eukaryota, Metazoa, Chordata, Lepidosauria, Squamata, Lacertidae. The record is from RefSeq and is a predicted model, not a curated record.
CUUUUGAUCUCCUAACAUAUUGGAAAUUACUUAAAGCAACAUCUAGUUGCUUCAUGCCACACUGUUCAGAAGCUCUUCAGGGGACAGAGUUAGCUUUAAUGGGAGAGAGGAGGAAGGGAUUGGAAGCCCUCUUUGACUGGCCCAGAUAGGCCACAAUUUU